CAGAGAAUAGUUUAAAUAAAAUAUUAAUUUUGGAGAUUAAUGAUAAAAGGUUUUUUUUUCUCUGA
This 65-nucleotide transfer RNA is filed under the name Hygrotus inaequalis. RNAcentral's name for it is "tRNA-Pro". The record is from RNAcentral. Lineage: Eukaryota; Metazoa; Arthropoda; Insecta; Coleoptera; Dytiscidae.